GAUCAACAAACUGCCUUUGGAUGCUAGACCAUUACUGGCAGCUCUUCAGCUAGCAGUCCCUCACAUGGGAAGCUACAUGUUGAAGGUCAUGGAUUAAGCUUGGAGGAUCAUCUUAACUAGCAUUGGAGUUUAACUUCAGUUCGAUGUGUG
Molecule: long non-coding RNA, 150 nt
Organism: Mobula hypostoma (lesser devil ray)
Lineage: Eukaryota; Metazoa; Chordata; Chondrichthyes; Myliobatiformes; Myliobatidae
Exons: 3
Source: RefSeq, a predicted model, not a curated record